Molecule: transfer RNA, 93 nt
Filed under: Thermosinus thermophiluss DSM 23256
Lineage: Bacteria; Bacillati; Bacillota; Negativicutes; Selenomonadales; Sporomusaceae
Description: Sporolituus thermophilus DSM 23256 tRNA_SeC(p)_TCA
Rfam family: Selenocysteine transfer RNA
Source: RNAcentral
GGGAGCGGAUGGGGCCUGGUGGCUCCUGCGGUCUUCAAAACCGUUUGCGUCGGCUUAACCGCCGAUGGGUGGGUUCGAUUCCUACACGCUCCC